AAGAGACAGCAGUAGCCGCGGGAAUACAGAGGGUGCGAGCGUUAAUCGGAUUUACUGGGCGUAAAGCGUGCGUAGGCGGCUAAUUGAGUCGGAUGUGAAAUCCCCGAGCUUAACUUGGGAAUUGCAUUCGAUACUGGUUAGCUAGAGUGUGGGAGAGGAUGGUAGAAUUCCAGGUGUAGCGGUGAAAUGCGUAGAGAUCUGGAGGAAUACCGAUGGCGAAGGCAGCCAUCUGGCCUAACACUGACGCUGAGGUACGAAAGCAUGGGGAGCAAACAGGAUUAGAUACCCCAGUAGUCCCUGUCUCUUAUAA
Molecule: ribosomal RNA, 310 nt
Filed under: uncultured bacterium
Lineage: Bacteria
Description: partial 16S ribosomal RNA
Rfam family: Bacterial small subunit ribosomal RNA
Source: RNAcentral